GGUGCGAGCGUUGUCCGGAAUCACUGGGCGUAAAGGGCGCGUAGGCGGGCUGUCAAGUCUGGGGUGAAAUCCCGCGGCUCAACCGUGGAACUGCCUUAGAUACUGACGGCCUCGAGGGAGAUAGGGGCGAGCGGAACUGUGAGUGGAGCGGUGAAAUGCGUUGAUAUUCACAGGAACUCCGGUGGCGAAGGCGGCUCGCUGGAUCUUUUCUGACGCUGAGGCGCGAAAGCUAGGGGAGCAAACGGG
This 246-nucleotide ribosomal RNA is filed under the name uncultured bacterium. RNAcentral's name for it is "partial 16S ribosomal RNA". It matches the Rfam family "Bacterial small subunit ribosomal RNA", at positions 531 to 776 of the family's 1533-position model. The record is from RNAcentral.